RNAcentral lists this ribosomal RNA (130 nucleotides) under Labrus bergylta (ballan wrasse). Lineage: Eukaryota; Metazoa; Chordata; Actinopteri; Labriformes; Labridae. The record is from RNAcentral.
AUGCACGCAUUACCAAAUAGCUAACACUUGAGCUUCCUAGAGCAGGCUAGGGCUAAGCUAAGCUAACCAUGGUCGGGCCUUGUUGGUAUUUGUAAGGGAGUCCACCUGGGAAUACCAGGUGCAGUGUGUC